GUGGGUAUAACUCAGUGGCAGAGAGUACAUGCCCAGCAUGCAUGAGGUCCCGGGUUCAAUUCCCAGUACUUGCA
RNAcentral lists this transfer RNA (74 nucleotides) under Camelus bactrianus (Bactrian camel). It matches the Rfam family "tRNA". From Rfam's summary of the family: Transfer RNA (tRNA) molecules are approximately 80 nucleotides in length. Their secondary structure includes four short double-helical elements and three loops (D, anti-codon, and T loops). Further hydrogen bonds mediate the characteristic L-shaped molecular structure. tRNAs have two regions of fundamental functional importance: the anti-codon, which is responsible for specific mRNA codon recognition, and the 3' end, to which the tRNAs corresponding amino acid is attached (by aminoacyl-tRNA synthetases). tRNAs cope with the degeneracy of the genetic code in two manners: having more than one tRNA (with a specific anti-codon) for a particular amino acid; and 'wobble' base-pairing, i.e. permitting non-standard base-pairing at the 3rd anti-codon position. RNAcentral also lists the same sequence under 2 other names. The record is from Rfam by way of RNAcentral. Lineage: Eukaryota; Metazoa; Chordata; Mammalia; Artiodactyla; Camelidae.